AGACAGAGGCCUCAAGCGUUAGGCGGAAUCACUGGGCUUAAAGCGUGUGUAGGCGGAUCGUUAAGUGUCUUGUGAAAUCCCACGGCUCACCCGUGGAACUGCUGGGCAUACUGGCGAUCUUGGGCCAACUAGGGGCAACUGGAACAAGCGGUGGAGCGGUGAAAUGCGUAGAUAUCGCUUGGAACGCCAACGGUGAAAACAGGUGGCUGGGGUUGUGCCGACCCUGAGACACGAAAGCCAGGGGAGCAAACGGGAUUAGAUACCCCGGUAGUCCUGGCCCUAAACGAUGUCCACUAGAUUGCGGCGGGUUUGACCCCGUCGCGGUCGAAGCAAAAGUGUUAAGUGGACCGCCUGGGAAGUACGGUCGCAAGGCUAAAACUCAAAGGAAUUGACGGUG
Molecule: ribosomal RNA, 397 nt
Filed under: uncultured bacterium
Lineage: Bacteria
Description: partial 16S ribosomal RNA
Rfam family: Bacterial small subunit ribosomal RNA
Source: RNAcentral